Zootermopsis nevadensis is the source of this 728-nucleotide non-coding RNA. The record is from RefSeq and is a predicted model, not a curated record. NCBI's taxonomy places the organism in Eukaryota, Metazoa, Arthropoda, Insecta, Blattodea, Termopsidae.
UGGGCAGAGUUCAGUUGCAUGGAAGUUGUUGGGGUGAGAGGACUGCAUUUCCGAACAAACAUCCAGUGACUGCACAUGGUCAUUGCUUUCAUGAAAUAGUAACAAAGUCUUCGUGCGACAUACAGUCUCUGACAUUCUUUGUGUUGGUGAUUUUAUGAAUUUUGCGAAGUUCUUUAUAUUAACUUUCGACUGACUGACUUCGGUAGACUCUUACUGGCGUUCAGGGCCUGUGACGCCGACGUCUUCAGGCCUGUGUGCUGCUGCAAAGAAGGCGUCAAAAGAUGGACUUCCAUCGACGCCUCCAGUUACAGAGUGUUAUAUUAUUUUAAGAGGGAUAAAGUACUGAGGACAGAGGAACCAGAUGUGGAAGAAAUGUGAAAAAUACGCGGGAGAAAUACGGAAAGGAGAUAAAGAUAGAAAUUUCUUAACUACUUCGAUAAGUUAUUAGAAGAUGUCUCUUCAUUCAUGAAAAGGAUAAGUCUGGCGGCCAGUUAAAUGCAACCAACGUUUGAAAGCUUCCACCAACAAAUGAGAAAGUUAAUUCCUAUCAUUAGCUGCAGCUAGAAGACUAAGUCACCUCUGUCACACCGAAUAAAGCCCAAAUGCAAAUAAGCAUCCUUAGCCAACAAACACUGCGGGCCUAGUAGAAAUGUAGACAUUGGCUAAAGAAACUUUCGUCAGAAUUCAUUCCACACUUAACGAGAAUUAAACGUUGUUCUGCGGUUUCA